GACGAACGCUGGCGGCGUGCUUAACACAUGCAAGUCGAACGGAAAGGCCCUGCUUUUGUGGGGUGCUCGAGUGGCGAACGGGUGAGUAACACGUGAGUAACCUGCCCUUGACUUUGGGAUAACUUCAGGAAACUGGGGCUAAUACCGGAUAGGAGCUCCUGCUGCAUGGUGGGGGUUGGAAAGUUUCGGCGGUUGGGGAUGGACUCGCGGCUUAUCAGCUUGUUGGUGGGGUAGUGGCUUACCAAGGCUUUGACGGGUAGCCGGCCUGAGAGGGUGACCGGCCACAUUGGGACUGAGAUACGGCCCAGACUCUUACGGGAGGCAGCAGUGGGGAAUAUUGCACAAUGGGCGGAAGCCUGAUGCAGCAACGCCGCGUGCGGGAUGACGGCCUUCGGGUUGUAAACCGCUUUCGCCUGUGUCGAAGCGUGAGUGACGGUAAUGGGUAAAGAAGCACCGGCUAACUACGUG
This 468-nucleotide ribosomal RNA is filed under the name uncultured bacterium. RNAcentral's name for it is "partial 16S ribosomal RNA". It matches the Rfam family "Bacterial small subunit ribosomal RNA", at positions 28 to 507 of the family's 1533-position model. The record is from RNAcentral.